CAGGGCGGCUGGGCGGCCGCUGCUAUGUAAAUGGCAGAGGAAAGUCCGAGCUCCACCGGGCAGGGUGCUGGGUAACGCCCAGGCGGGGCAACCCGACAGAUAGUGCCACAGAAACAUACCGCCCAGGGGGUUUCCUCCUGAGCAAGGGUGAAAUCGUGAGGUAAGAGCUCACGGCCCCAGCGGUGACGUUUGGGGCGGGAAAACCUCACCUGGUGCAAGGCCGAAUAGGGGGACGUAGGGUGCCCGGCCUGUCCCCGGGUUGGCCGCAUGAUCCCGAUGGUAACAUUGGGACUAGAGAGAUGGUCGCCAUCCCGACUUGUCGGGAUACAGAACUCGGCUUACAGGCUGCCCUGGCCC
Molecule: RNase P RNA, 357 nt
Filed under: Dehalococcoidia bacterium
Lineage: Bacteria; Bacillati; Chloroflexota; Dehalococcoidia
Description: RNase P RNA component class A
Rfam family: Bacterial RNase P class A
About the family: Ribonuclease P (RNase P) is a ubiquitous endoribonuclease, found in archaea, bacteria and eukarya as well as chloroplasts and mitochondria. Its best characterised activity is the generation of mature 5'-ends of tRNAs by cleaving the 5'-leader elements of precursor-tRNAs. Cellular RNase Ps are ribonucleoproteins.
Source: RNAcentral